GUCCACGCCGUAAACGAUGGGCACUAGGUGCUUGGGGGAGCGACCCCCUGGGUGCCGGCGCUAACGCAUGAAGUGCCCCGCCUGGGGAGUACGGCCGCAAGGCUGAAACUCAAAGGAAUUGACGGGGGCCCCGCACAAGCGGUGGAGCAUGUGGUUUAAUUCGACGCAACGCGAAGAACCUUACCUAUGCUUGACAUGCAGGAGAAACGCUCCAGAAACGGGGCGCCCUCUUCGGAGUUCCUGCACAGGUGCUGCAUGGCUGUCGU
RNAcentral lists this ribosomal RNA (266 nucleotides) under uncultured bacterium. RNAcentral's name for it is "partial 16S ribosomal RNA". It matches the Rfam family "Bacterial small subunit ribosomal RNA", at positions 793 to 1055 of the family's 1533-position model. The record is from RNAcentral.